This 27-nucleotide non-coding RNA is filed under the name Bombyx mori (domestic silkworm). Lineage: Eukaryota; Metazoa; Arthropoda; Insecta; Lepidoptera; Bombycidae. The record is from RNAcentral.
UAUAACACAUAAAUACACGUUUGGGCA